AAUUUUGGACAAUGGGGGAAACCCUGAUCCAGCCAUCCCGCGUGUAUGAUUAAGGCCUUCGGUUUGUAAAGUACUUUUGGCAGAGAAGAAAAGGUAUCUCCAAAUACGAGAUACUGCUGACGGUACCUGAUGAAUAAGCACCGGCUAACUACGUGCCAGCAGCCGAGGUAAUCCGUAUGGUGCAAGCGUUAAUCGGAAUUACUGUGCGUAAAGCGUGUGUAGGAGGUUCGGAAAGAAAGAUGUGAAAUCCCAGGGCUCAACCUUGGAACUGCAUUUUUAACUGCCGAGCUAGAGUAUGUCAGAGGGGGGUAGAAUUCCACGUGUAGCAGUGAAAUGCGUAGAUAUGUGGAGGAAUACCGAUGGCGAAGGCAGCCCCCUGGGAUAAUACUGACGCUCAGACACGAAAGCGUGGGGAGCAAACAGG
This 424-nucleotide ribosomal RNA is filed under the name uncultured bacterium. Its description in RNAcentral is "partial 16S ribosomal RNA". It matches the Rfam family "Bacterial small subunit ribosomal RNA", at positions 360 to 776 of the family's 1533-position model. The record is from RNAcentral.